RNAcentral lists this ribosomal RNA (253 nucleotides) under uncultured bacterium. Its description in RNAcentral is "partial 16S ribosomal RNA". It matches the Rfam family "Bacterial small subunit ribosomal RNA", at positions 524 to 776 of the family's 1533-position model. The record is from RNAcentral.
UACAGAGGUCUCAAGCGUUGUUCGGAUUCAUUGGGCGUAAAGGGUGCGUAGGUGGCGCUGUAAGUCGGGUGUGAAAUUUCGGAGCUUAACUCCGAAACUGCAUUCGAUACUGCGGUGCUUGAGGACUGGAGAGGAGACUGGAAUUCAUGGUGUAGCAGUGAAAUUCGUAGAUAUUCGGAAGAACACCAGUGGCGAAGGCGACUCACUGGACAUGUAUUGACGCUGAGGUGCGAAAGCGUGGGGAGCAAACAGG